CUCCUUUGUUACCCUGGCAACCGGAGUUUAAAGCUUCCAGCGGCUAACGUAAAGGAAACUAGCCACAUGAGGAGGACACUAUGGAUGACACGCCACAAGUCCGGCUACAACACAGCAGCUAAGCAGAAAAGGCUGCGACUUUCAAAGUGGAUACAAGAGGUCUUGUAAGGUCCAGUCCGAAAGCGUGAAAAGCGCUGCCUCAGUACGGCAAAAGGAAACGGCUGUGGGGGCCCAAACUUUGGUCACUGUAGCUUUGUCCAGUUCAACACACAUGAGCUAACUUGGCUUACUUUAGCAGAUCUGGUGACGCACCUCAAGUGACCUCCGGUGGCUUAGGAUGGACAAACGAGUCAAUUCUCACAACUCUUUUAUUCACUGAAAUUCCCACGGUAAAUGAGUUAGAUUUCCUUCAGCUGCCUGACACUUUAUACAUAACUGGCUAUUUACU
Nerophis lumbriciformis (worm pipefish) is the source of this 448-nucleotide non-coding RNA. The record is from RefSeq and is a predicted model, not a curated record. NCBI's taxonomy places the organism in Eukaryota, Metazoa, Chordata, Actinopteri, Syngnathiformes, Syngnathidae.